GAGAGUUUGUAACACCCGAAGUCGGUAGGGUAACCUUUAUGGAGCCAGCCGCCGAAGGUGGGACAGAUAAUUGGGGUGAAGUCGUAACAAGGUAGCCGUAUCGGAAGGUGCGGCUGGAUCACCUCCUUUCUAAGGA
Molecule: ribosomal RNA, 136 nt
Filed under: Listeria floridensis FSL S10-1187
Lineage: Bacteria; Bacillati; Bacillota; Bacilli; Caryophanales; Listeriaceae
Description: partial 16S ribosomal RNA
Rfam family: Bacterial small subunit ribosomal RNA
Source: RNAcentral